UACGGGGGGGGCAAGCGUUGUUCGGAAUUACUGGGCGGAAAGGGCUCGUAGGCGGCCAACUAAGUCAGACGUGAAAUCCCUCGGCUUAACCGGGGAACUGCGUCUGAUACUGGAUGGCUAGAGAUUGGGAGAGGGAUGCGGAAUUCCAGGUGUAGCGGUGAAAUGCGUAGAUAUCUGGAGGAACACCGGUGGCGAAGGCGGCAUCCUGGACCAACACUGACGCUGAGGAGCGAAAGCCAGGGGAGCAAACGGG
This 253-nucleotide ribosomal RNA is filed under the name uncultured bacterium. Its description in RNAcentral is "partial 16S ribosomal RNA". It matches the Rfam family "Bacterial small subunit ribosomal RNA", at positions 524 to 776 of the family's 1533-position model. The record is from RNAcentral.